Molecule: ribosomal RNA, 339 nt
Filed under: uncultured marine eukaryote
Lineage: Eukaryota
Description: SSU rRNA
Rfam family: Eukaryotic small subunit ribosomal RNA
Source: RNAcentral
AACCUGGUUGAUCCUGCCAGUAGUCAUACGCUCGUCUCAGAGAUUAAGCCAUGCAUGUGUAAGUUCAAUGAUUUGACCAAAAAACUGCGAAUGGCUCAUUAUAUCAGUUAUAGUUUAUUUGAUAGUCCCUUACUACUUGGAUACCCGUAGUAAUUCUAGAGCUAAUACAUGCGUAAACACUCGACCUUUGGAAGAGUGGUAUUUAUUAGAUUGAAACCAACCCGUUUCGGCGGUGUCCUGGUGAUUCAUAAAUAUCCUUUUCGGAUUGCAUUGCAAACAUUUCAUUCCAAGUUUCCUGCCCCUAUCAGCUUUGACGGUAGUGUAUUGGACUACCGUGGC